This 466-nucleotide ribosomal RNA is filed under the name uncultured bacterium. RNAcentral's name for it is "partial 16S ribosomal RNA". It matches the Rfam family "Bacterial small subunit ribosomal RNA", at positions 28 to 507 of the family's 1533-position model. The record is from RNAcentral.
GACGAACGCUGGCGGCGUGCUUAACACAUGCAAGUCGAACGGAAAGGCCCUGCUUGCAGGGUACUCGAGUGGCGAACGGGUGAGUAACACGCGGGUGAUCCGCCCUGCACUUCGGGAUAAGCUUGGGAAACUGGGUCUAAUACCGGAUAGGACCGCACCUGAGUGUGUGUGGUGGAAAGUUUUUUCGGUGUAGGAUGAGCUCGCGGGCUAUCAGCUUGUUGGUGGGGUAAUGGGCUACCAAGGGGGCGACGGGUAGCCGGCCUGAGAGGGUGUACGGCCACAUUGGGACUGAGAUACGGCGCAGACUCCUACGGGAGGCAGCAGUGGGGAAUAUUGCACAAUGGGGGCAAGCCUGAUGCAGAGACGCCGCGUGGGGGAUGAAGGCCUUCGGGUUGUAAACUCCUUUCGCUAGGGACGAAGCGUUGUUGUGACGGUACCUAGAUAAGAAGCACCGGCUAACUACGUG